UACAGGGGGGGCAAGCGUUGUUCGGAAUCACUGGGCGUAAAGCGCACGUAGGCGGAUUUUUAAGUCAGGGGUGAAAUCCUGGAGCUCAACUCCAGAACUGCCUUUGAUACUGGGAAUCUCGAGUCCGGAAGAGGUGAGUGGAACUGCGAGUGUAGAGGUGAAAUUCGUAGAUAUUCGCAAGAACACCAGUGGCGAAGGCGGCUCACUGGUCCGGUACUGACGCUGAGGUGCGAAAGCGUGGGGAGCAAACAGG
This 253-nucleotide ribosomal RNA is filed under the name uncultured bacterium. RNAcentral describes it as "partial 16S ribosomal RNA". It matches the Rfam family "Bacterial small subunit ribosomal RNA", at positions 524 to 776 of the family's 1533-position model. The record is from RNAcentral.